Molecule: ribosomal RNA, 421 nt
Filed under: uncultured bacterium
Lineage: Bacteria
Description: bacterial SSU rRNA
Rfam family: Bacterial small subunit ribosomal RNA
Source: RNAcentral
UGAGGAAUAUUGGGCAAUGCCCGCAAGGGUGACCCAGCAACGCCGCGUGGAGGAUGAAUGUCGUAAGAUUGUAAACUCCUGUUAGAGGGGAAGAAUAGUACCGGUUGGACCGGUAUAUGACUGUACCCUCAGAGAAAGCCCCGGCUAACUACGUGCCAGCAGCCGCGGUAAUACGUAGGGGGCAAGCGUUGUCCGGAUUUACUGGGUGUAAAGGGCGCGCAGGCGGGAUAAAAAGUCAGUGGUGAAAUCCUACAGCUUAACUGUAGAACUGCCUUUGAUACUUUUAAUCUUGAGUUCGGGAGAGAGAGACGGAAUUCCAGGUGUAGUGGUGAAAUACGUAGAUAUCUGGAAGAACACCAGUUGCGAAGGCGGUCUCUUGGUCCGACACUGACGCUGAGGCGCGAAAGCGUGGGGAGCAAAC